AUGCUUUUUGCCUAAUAACAAAAAGAUGAGGCUUUACCGCUGGGUUUAAGAAGUGCAAUAUUAAAACAAAAGCCAGGAGUCUUUUAAGCCCAGUGUGUAGAUAAAUGCUGGAUUGUAACUCAGAGACACAAUG
Otolemur garnettii (small-eared galago) is the source of this 133-nucleotide small nucleolar RNA. The record is from Ensembl. NCBI's taxonomy places the organism in Eukaryota, Metazoa, Chordata, Mammalia, Primates, Galagidae.